Molecule: ribosomal RNA, 1480 nt
Filed under: uncultured bacterium
Lineage: Bacteria
Description: 16S ribosomal RNA
Rfam family: Bacterial small subunit ribosomal RNA
Source: RNAcentral
AGAGUUUGAUCCUGGCUCAGGAUGAACGCUAGCGGGAGGCCUAACACAUGCAAGUCGAGCGGGAUUUCCCUUCGGGGGAUGAGAGCGGCGCACGGGUGAGUAACGCGUAUGUAAUCUACCAUUAACCGGGGAAUAGCUCAGAGAAAUCUGGAUUAAUGCCCCAUAGUAUUAUCGAAAGGCAUCUUUUGAUAAUUAAAGCUCAGGCGGUUUUUGAUGAACAUGCGUGACAUUAGCUAGUUGGUAAGGUAACGGCUUACCAAGGCUACGAUGUCUAGGGGUUCUGAGAGGAUGAUCCCCCACACUGGUACUGAGACACGGACCAGACUCCUACGGGAGGCAGCAGUGAGGAAUAUUGGUCAAUGGGCGCAAGCCUGAACCAGCCAUCCCGCGUGCAGGAUGACGGCCCUAUGGGUUGUAAACUGCUUUUAUACACCAAGAAAAAUCCCCACGUGUGGGGACCCGACGGUAGUGUAUGAAUAAGCAUCGGCUAACUCCGUGCCAGCAGCCGCGGUAAUACGGAGGAUGCAAGCGUUAUCCGGAUUCAUUGGGUUUAAAGGGUGCGUAGGCGGCUUUUUAAGUCAGUGGUGAAAUCCUGCCGCUUAACGGUAGAAUUGCCAUUGAUACUGAAAAGCUUGAGUACAUUUGAGGUAAGCGGAAUGUGUAGUGUAGCGGUGAAAUGCUUAGAUAUUACACAGAACACCAAUUGCGAAGGCAGCUUACUAAACUGAUACUGACGCUGAUGCACGAAAGCGUGGGGAGCGAACAGGAUUAGAUACCCUGGUAGUCCACGCCGUAAACGAUGCUCACUCGCUGUUUGCGAUACACAGCAAGCGGCCAAGCGAAAGCAUUAAGUGAGCCACCUGGGGAGUACGAUCGCAAGGUUGAAACUCAAAGGAAUUGACGGGGGCCCGCACAAGCGGAGGAACAUGUGGUUUAAUUCGAUGAUACGCGAGGAACCUUACCUGGGCUUGACAUGCUGGGAACCCUUAAGAGAUUAGGGGGUGCCUGCUUAGCACCUGUGCAGGUGCUGCAUGGUUGUCGUCAGCUCGUGCCGUGAGGUGUCGGGUUAAGUCCCAUAACGAGCGCAACCCUUAUCGUUAGUUGCCAGCGGAUUAAGUUGGGCACUCUAGCGAGACUGCCACCGUAAGGUGUGAGGAAGGUGGGGAUGACGUCAAAUCAGCACGGCCCUUAUGUCCAGGGCUACACACGUGUUACAAUGGCCGAUACAAAGGGCAGCUACCAGGUGACUGGAUGCCAAUCCCAUAAAGCCGGUCUCAGUUCGGAUCGAAGUCUGCAACCCGACUUCGUGAAGCUGGAUUCGCUAGUAAUCGCAUAUCAGCCAUGAUGCGGUGAAUACGUUCCCGGGCCUUGUACACACCGCCCGUCAAACAAUGGAAGCUGGGGGUACCUGAAGUCUGUAACCGCAAGGAGCGGCCUAGGGUAAAACUAGUAACUGGUGUUAAGUCGUAACAAGGUAACC